Molecule: ribosomal RNA, 369 nt
Filed under: uncultured eukaryote
Lineage: Eukaryota
Description: partial 18S ribosomal RNA
Rfam family: Eukaryotic small subunit ribosomal RNA
Source: RNAcentral
CAAUAGCGUAUAUUAAAGUUGUUGCAGUUAAAAAGCUCGUAGUUGGAUUUCUGGUCGGAAGCUCCUGUCCUCUGAUGAGCGUACAAGUGCGUCCUACCAUCCUUCUGUUAACCUUUAAGGCUUUCGCGGCUCUCUAGGGGCUCAGAUAUUUUACCUUGAGAAAAUUAGAGUGUUUCAGGCAGGCUAGCGCCGGAAUACAUUAGCAUGGAAUAAUGGAAUAGGACUUUUGCCUCUUCUGUUGGUCAUGAGGCUCGAGUAAUGAUUAAUAGGGAUAGUUGGGGGCAUUAGUACUUAACUGUCAGAGGUGAAAUUCUCGGAUUUGUUAAAGACUAACUUAUGCGAAAGCAUUUGCCAAGGAUGUUUUCAUUA